Molecule: ribosomal RNA, 250 nt
Filed under: uncultured bacterium
Lineage: Bacteria
Description: partial 16S ribosomal RNA
Rfam family: Bacterial small subunit ribosomal RNA
Source: RNAcentral
UACGGAGGGGGCGAGCGUUGUUCGGAAUCACUGGGCGUAAAGCGUGCGUAGGCGGUUAUACAAGUCAGAAGUGAAAUCCCAGGGCUUAACCCUGGAAUUGCUUUUGAGACUGUAUGACUAGAGAUCUAGAGAGGUUGGGGGAAUUCCGAGUGUAGAGGUGAAAUUCGCAGAUAUUCGGAGGAACACCAGUGGCGUAGGCGCCCAACUGGCUAGAUACUGACGCUGAGGCACGAAAGCGUGGGGAGCAAAC